AAAAGGAUACCACGACACAGCAUAACCCAAACAGCAGGACAACGUUUAUCGUCCACACACAACAAAUCAAGCCAUGAAACUUGCAGCCAUUUUUGCACCUCUUCUACUACUUGCCAUAGCAAUGGUUAAGGGAAGCAACGGUCACCAUGGCCACCAUGGCCAUCAUGGUCACCAUGGACACCACGGACAUCAUGGUCACCAUGGCAAAUAGAGACCGAGCAUCCACCGAUCUGUUAGAUUUACAGCAAGACUUAACCAAUUCACAACAGAUUUUGUUUUUCAUACACACCAAUGAACCUGACAGACAGUUUUGCAUAUUUUCAAAUAUUUAUGAAUACAAUUCACAGGAAAUAAAUACUGACAAUAUAUCAACGUUUCGUUAUCAUU
This is a long non-coding RNA of Haliotis rufescens (red abalone), 387 nucleotides long. RefSeq lists it as uncharacterized. NCBI's taxonomy places the organism in Eukaryota, Metazoa, Mollusca, Gastropoda, Lepetellida, Haliotidae. The record is from RefSeq and is a predicted model, not a curated record. The transcript has 3 exons.